This 933-nucleotide ribosomal RNA is filed under the name uncultured bacterium. RNAcentral describes it as "bacterial SSU rRNA". It matches the Rfam family "Bacterial small subunit ribosomal RNA", at positions 9 to 916 of the family's 1533-position model. The record is from RNAcentral.
UAGUUUGAUCCUGGCUCAGGACGAACGCUGGCGGCGUGCCUAAUACAUGCAAGUGGAACGCAGUUAAUUCACCGGAGCUUGCUCCAUCGAAUUGACUGAGUCGCGAACGGGUGAGUAACGCGUAGGUAACCUGCCUGAUAGCGGGGGAUAACUAUUGGAAACGAUAGCUAAUACCGCAUAACAACUAUUCUCGCAUGAGAAAAGUUUGAAAGGAGCAACUGCUUCACUAUCAGAUGGACCUGCGUUGUAUUAGCUAGUAGGUAGGGUAACGGCCUACCUAGGCAUCGAUACAUAGCCGACCUGAGAGGGUGAUCGGCCACACUGGGACUGAGACACGGCCCAGACUCCUACGGGAGGCAGCAGUAGGGAAUCUUCGGCAAUGGGGGCAACCCUGACCGAGCAACGCCGCGUGAGUGAAGAAGGUUUUCGGAUCGUAAAGCUCUGUUGUAAGAGAAGAACGUUAGUGGGAGUGGAAAAUCCAUUAAGUGACGGUAUCUUACCAGAAAGGGACGGCUAACUACGUGCCAGCAGCCGCGGUAAUACGUAGGUCCCGAGCGUUGUCCGGAUUUAUUGGGCGUAAAGCGAGCGCAGGUGGUUAGAUAAGUCUGAAGUAAAAGGCAGUGGCUCAACCAUUGUAUGCUUUGGAAACUGUUUAACUUGAGUGCAGAAGGGGAGAGUGGAAUUCCAUGUGCAGCGGUGAAAUGCGUAGAUAUAUGGAGGAACACCGGUGGCGAAAGCGGCUCUCUGGUCUGUAACUGACACUGAGGCUCGAAAGCGUGGGUAGCGAACAGGAUUAGAUACCCUGGUAGUCCACGCCGUAAACGAUGAGUGCUAGAUGUUAGGCCCUAUCCGGGGCUUAGUGUCGAAGCUAACGCGAUAAGCACUCCGCCUGGGGAGUACGGCCGCAAGGCUGAAACUCAAAGGAAUUGACGG